UACGGGGGGGGCAAGCGUUGUUCGGAAUUACUGGGCGUAAAGGGCUCGUAGGUGGCCAACUAAGUCAUACGUGAAAUCCCUCAGCUUAACUGGGGAACUGCGCCUGAUACUGGUUGGCUUGAGUUUGGGAGAGGGACGCGGAAUUCCAGGUGUAGCGGUGAAAUGCGUAGAUAUCUGGAGGAACACCGGUGGCGAAGGCGGCGUUCUGGACUGUUUCUGACACUGAAAAACGAAAGCCAGGGGAGCAAACGGG
RNAcentral lists this ribosomal RNA (253 nucleotides) under uncultured bacterium. RNAcentral's name for it is "partial 16S ribosomal RNA". It matches the Rfam family "Bacterial small subunit ribosomal RNA", at positions 524 to 776 of the family's 1533-position model. The record is from RNAcentral.